UGUAGCUGGUCUGAGAGGACGACCAGCCACACUGGGACUGAGACACGGCCCAGACUCCUACGGGAGGCAGCAGUGGGGAAUUUUGGACAAUGGGCGAAAGCCUGAUCCAGCAAUGCCGCGUGCAGGAUGAAGGCCUUCGGGUUGUAAACUGCUUUUGUACGGAACGAAAAGGCGCCUAUUAAUACUGGGUGUUGAUGACGGUACCGUAAGAAUAAGCACCGGCUAACUACGUGCCAGCAGCCGCGGUAAUACGUAGGGUGCGAGCGUUAAUCGGAAUUACUGGGCGUAAAGCGUGCGCAGGCGGUGUUGUAAGACAGUUGUGAAAUCCCCGGGCUCAACCUGGGAACUGCAUCUGUGACUGCAAUGCUGGAGUGCGGCAGAGGGGGAUGGAAUUCCGCG
This 399-nucleotide ribosomal RNA is filed under the name Hylemonella sp. Its description in RNAcentral is "bacterial SSU rRNA". It matches the Rfam family "Bacterial small subunit ribosomal RNA", at positions 282 to 673 of the family's 1533-position model. Lineage: Bacteria; Pseudomonadati; Pseudomonadota; Betaproteobacteria; Burkholderiales; Comamonadaceae. The record is from RNAcentral.